This 435-nucleotide ribosomal RNA is filed under the name uncultured bacterium. Its description in RNAcentral is "partial 16S ribosomal RNA". It matches the Rfam family "Bacterial small subunit ribosomal RNA", at positions 29 to 507 of the family's 1533-position model. The record is from RNAcentral.
AGCGAACGCUGGCGGCAGGCUUAACACAUGCAAGUCGAGCGGGCACUUUCGGGUGUCAGCGGCGGACGGGUGAGUAACGCGUGGGAACGUGCCCUCUGGCUCGGAAUAACUCAGGGAAACUUGAGCUAAUACCGGAUACGCCCUUUUGGGGAAAGGCUUGCUGCCGGAGGAUCGGCCCGCGUCUGAUUAGCUAGUUGGUGAGGUAACGGCUCACCAAGGCGACGAUCAGUAGCUGGUCUGAGAGGAUGAUCAGCCACACUGGGACUGAGACACGGCCCAGACUCCUACGGGAGGCAGCAGUGGGGAAUAUUGGACAAUGGGCGCAAGCCUGAUCCAGCCAUGCCGCGUGAGUGAUGAAGGCCUUAGGGUUGUAAAGCUCUUUUAUCCGGGACGAUAAUGACGGUACCGGAGGAAUAAGCCCCGGCUAACUUCGUG